RNAcentral lists this ribosomal RNA (460 nucleotides) under uncultured bacterium. Its description in RNAcentral is "partial 16S ribosomal RNA". It matches the Rfam family "Bacterial small subunit ribosomal RNA", at positions 338 to 795 of the family's 1533-position model. The record is from RNAcentral.
CCUACGGGGGGCAGCAGUGAGGAAUAUUGGUCAAUGGGCGCGAGCCUGAACCAGCCAAGUCGCGUGAGGGAUGACGGUCCUACGGAUUGUAAACCUCUUUUGCCGGGGAGCAAGCGUGCGUUCGUGAACGCGCGUCGAGAGUACCCGGAGAAAAAGCAUCGGCUAACUCCGUGCCAGCAGCCGCGGUAAUACGGAGGAUGCGAGCGUUAUCCGGAUUUAUUGGGUUUAAAGGGUGCGCAGGCGGUCUGUUAAGUCAGCGGUCAAAGCCCGGGGCUCAACCCCGGCCCGCCGUUGAAACUGGCAGUCUCGAGUUGGAGAGAAGUAUGCGGAAUGCGCGGUGUAGCGGUGAAAUGCAUAGAUAUCGCGCAGAACUCCGAUUGCGAAGGCAGCAUGCCGGCUCCACACUGACGCUGAGGCACGAAAGCGUGGGUAUCGAACAGGAUUAGAUACCCUAGUAGUC